AAAAUAUUAUACUCUUCAGAUAGUAAUUUAUAGGACUUAAUAUUAUUUGCUUUUCACAAUUGUUCAAAAAUUCCACCCCAAAUCAUCAAUUUUCCUCUUGCCGAAAACAGCAGGGAGCCACCUUAACUACAACAACAAAUCACGUGCCCCUCCAGACCUAUAACCUAUUUGAAUAGUGACACAAAACACCUGUGACGUCACAGUGCAGGGCAUAAUAACUGUAUUUGCACCUGCUUAAUACUGGUGGCACCACAGUAUAUGUACUAACUCUACCUUUCACAGUUGUAGGGCUGUUCCAAUUGAACUGGUGCAGAGUAUUGGUCCAACAAAUCUUGUAAAGGUAAUCCCUGGUAAAUUGUGGUUAAAAGAACAGAUGAGUUUCCAGUUAUUGAAUAAUGUUCAAUUGAGUUUUGUUUAUUAAUGUAAUACUGAAAUGUGUCCACGUGUGCAUUUACCUAUUAUGCUGUUCAAACCAUUUUAUCUACCGUAACAUUAAGAAAAAUUGCUGGUGGUAAAUACUCAAGAACUGAGAGGUCAUUUCAAAAUGCACUAAAUUAUUUUGUUACUUUUUAACACUAAACACAAUCCUUUUCUGAACUCCAAGGUGGCUAAUUUACACAUCCAAAUAAUCUCACACUACCUCACAAAGAAAUUAUGAAUGCUUGCAUGGAUCUAGCACUGACAAUGACUUUCUAUUUCUUUGGGUAUAUAUAUAUACCUUUGUUAUAGAUAAUGGAAGCACUGUCUCAGUGGCACAGUUACUUGUAGUAUUGUCACACUCGCUGCAUAAAAUUUCACUCCUGAGUGAGAAGCAAAACGAAUUCAGAAAUUCAAGGCUACAAUAUCGUGGUAUAAGAUCCGUUGAUUGCAGAUGAUGAGCUUUUUCCUCCAAAAUCCUCCAAAAUGAUUGGAAAAAUUCGGCUGAACAUUGCUGUGAACCUUUGACAAAACCACUCAUAAUUUGGGGCAAGCAAGAAAGCAUUGCUGCUGGUCGAACAACUUGUGGUGCUCCAUUGUACAGUUUGAAGACAUUCAUUGUACUGCAUAUUAUACAUUUUGUUCCUGAAUGAAUAUCAAAUGAAUACCAGAUAUCAUUACAAAAUAUUACUAUUACCAUGUAUUUUUGUCAUUGUCAUCUUAAAUCUUUUUUACAAAUAUAAUGUA
Non-coding RNA from Paramuricea clavata, 1164 nucleotides. NCBI's taxonomy places the organism in Eukaryota, Metazoa, Cnidaria, Anthozoa, Malacalcyonacea, Plexauridae. The record is from the annotation of a GenBank genome assembly.